AUUGCUGGCUGCUCAUCCAACGGCCACCGCGCCAAAUGCCUUACAGACCCGGUGGCCCUGGAAUCGAUUCUGUAACACUACUCCUUGUGUGACCGUGGACAAGUCACUCGGUCUCUGAGCCUUCUUCAUCUGUAAAUAAGAGAGCGAGGCUAGAGAAGCCCAGAGCCAGAGUUUAGAAACCGAGUGCGAGGACACCUGCCCUCUUGGUGUGCACUGUGGAGCGCUGAGAAACGGCUCCAAUAACGCCCCGACACUCUUCGCUCCUACCAGUUUGGGGACAUGAAAAGAAUACGUUUUACAAAUUGGGGAACGGUUCAUAUUUACAUGACUUACCGCGGUCACACAGGUCUUCAGCAGAACUUGGUUCAAACUCUGGCAGUGCAUGUUUCAGUAUAACCUGCCUCAUCAUUACCCAGUGCUUUCAGAUGUGUUCUCUCACUCUGGUUUUUCACAAGCUGGUGAAGUAGGUUGGACGGAUACUCAUUGUUCCCAUCCCAUGCCUUAGGAAAUAAAGCACCGAAAGGGUGAAUGAUAGUGUAUAAUUUUUUGUUCACAACUCGUCCAACAGAGCUGGGUCUAGAAAUCAGAUCUUACCGACUUGAAGCUGUCUUUUGGAAUUAAGAAUAACACCUGUAUCUGGGCAGGUGAGGGAGGACCCCUCCAAAAUGAG
RNAcentral lists this long non-coding RNA (670 nucleotides) under Homo sapiens (human). RNAcentral describes it as "non-protein coding lnc-MYH7-1:1". Lineage: Eukaryota; Metazoa; Chordata; Mammalia; Primates; Hominidae. The record is from RNAcentral.